ACAGCCAGUUCAAACUGGCUCUGCUAGAGACAAGAUGGGCUGGGACCCUCUCCCGUAAGCCUCACUUCGGGAGGAAGAGGCCAGACCUCAUAGAUCCACGGGAGGACGCUCGAUGCCAGCCGGAGAGGAGGAGGAAAGAGCCCCAUGGGAAGGAAAGGACUGUAAACAGGGAAGUACCAGUCCCACCUCCCAGGUAGGUAGGCAGAGGAGACGAGCGUAGAGAACCUGGGGAGAGGUUGCCCUCUGCCGGUGAACCUAUAACACCAGCUCGCGGUGGAAGAGCGCGGAGAUACUUGUGCAAAGAACAGCCCCACUAAAUUGUAACAUCUUGGAGGCGGGACAUCACAAAAAAGGGGGGUGGGGCACGGGUCUAGGUGAGGUUGGGCCUCUUGGGCUCACGGAAGAAUCCGGUCACGCUGAGAUGGGUCGUCAGACUGAGCCUGACGCCACCGUACGGUCCAUUCACCGGCCUCCGCCUCUGAGUUCAUGGUCCCGGCACCUUCGCCCGCUCCGGCCUCCGCUGGCUUGACUCCAGGGACCAGCCGCACCCCCAGAGUCUGCUUCUGAGCCUGACCUACAGCAUGGAGCAGCCUGGAACGUGGACUGAGACAUACCUGUGGAAGUGUAGUGAAUGGAAAUGCUGACGGAGAUGAUUACGAUGCCGUCCAGUGCCGGGGCAAACACAGGGAUGGUUUCUGCACAGCGUAAUACCUUCAGAGGAGAGGGACACAUUUUCCCCGCAUUGAAUGGGGUGAGUUAUUUCACUGUCGGCCAACUCUGGUAUGUAUUUUCUGUGUACCGACUUGUAUUUUGAGUGGCAGUCCUUGGGUUCUUUUCCUUCUUGCUCCAUAUCCUGCAGCCAGCUGUCUGCACAUCCACUUACCCAUCCCUGCUCAAGCUGACUCUGGUCCAGGAAGGUGGGCUUCACCUGGCACUUGAACCCCAGCCUGCAGGCUCUUUGAGGGCAGCAGCUGGAUCUUAUUCAUCACCGGGGCCCAGAAAACUGUGGUACAUCUACACGAUGGAAUACUAUGCUGCUGUAAAAA
Myotis brandtii (Brandt's bat) is the source of this 1046-nucleotide long non-coding RNA. RefSeq lists it as uncharacterized. The transcript is spliced from 3 exons. The record is from RefSeq and is a predicted model, not a curated record. Lineage: Eukaryota; Metazoa; Chordata; Mammalia; Chiroptera; Vespertilionidae.